CUGUGAUCCUUCUGCUCCUCAUCCACGCCUCCCGAUCUCCCGUCAGCGUGAGGACUUUUUCUUGAUGUUUUUGAAGAGUUUAUUUUUCUGGAACAGUUCUUGGAAGUUCUCUUCUAAAAAUUCGUUUUUUUGGAGUUCUCUGCCCUAAAAUUCGGAUUCUGUAGCUUUUGGAUGUUCUCCUCGUGGCAGUCGCGUCCUCCCCUGAAUCGGUGGAGCUCGAUCGCCAACCAUGGUACGGCGCACCCACCACUUGUCCCUUCCCCUUCUCUUCCUCCUCUUGGGGCAGCUUCCGGCUUUUCUUCUUCGCGCCAUCUUUUGGCGUCCACAUCCGGCCGCAGGUGGAGGCAUCGCCCACUUGCGACGCCAGUUCACCCUUAUUUCUACUGACAACGAUCUCCAGGACGCUGGGACAAUGGCCCCGACGCGGUGAUACCCAUUGUCGCCGACUCCACUCUUCUGUUUGUCUGGGGCACGAGCAUCACAGUCUUGGUUCCUUGGUUCCUUCAUCACUUCCGGUACCCACGGUAUAGAAUUGCACUCCCAACUCAUUAUAGAGAUAGGGGAUGGGAUUCUGUGCACGUCGAAGGCCGCCAUGGCUGCAACUAUGACCCUGAUCUUUACAGCCAGAUGUUGAGGUAGCCGCCAAGGUGCUAGCCACAUCUUCCCCGGUGUGCUACAGAAUGGAUCAUUAGAACACUUUGUUAGAGGGAUAUGUCCUCUAGGAAGGCCAUUUACACACACAUUGAAUCACAUGCAUUAUCAUCUUCAUGUGCUGCCUCAAAGUAUAUUUACUCUUUUUCAUUGAAAUCUGCAGUUUGGAGUGCAAGAUUUCCUGGAUCUUUGUACAUUUUCUGCAAAAUUAGUUAUACAAGAAAACAUAUACAUAACUGACUGUCUUUUGAAGACUUGAAGCUGCAGAGGCAUGAUACAUCAUUACACAAAAAUGAGGAGGAACCUCCAAGGAAGCAGAAAGAAGCUGCACUGCAGCACUGCAGCUCUCAAGGUUGAAUAUGCUCAUUCCAUCCACUUCUAUCUAUUGCAAAUUGUCCUGGUUUUACAAAAGAUGCUAUUGUUUCAUUGUCCUUUUCCAACGAUUGGAGCUGUAGUCUGCCUUUUGGCAAAAGGUGCAUUAAUUCAAAUUCUGUAUCAAAUAGUACAAUAAGACACUGAAGUUGUACUGCAUCAAACUGAAGUUUCUUCAAGGCCAUAUGCACAUAGAAAAGGCAGUAGAAAGCAAUGACAGGACUCUUCUAAUCAACAGUUCACUUCUGUUGCAGUGGAAGAACAGCACUGAAACAGCUGAAGCAGGAUCACCAGUU
Non-coding RNA from Musa acuminata subsp. malaccensis (wild Malaysian banana), 1319 nucleotides. The record is from RefSeq and is a predicted model, not a curated record. Lineage: Eukaryota; Viridiplantae; Streptophyta; Magnoliopsida; Zingiberales; Musaceae.